Molecule: ribosomal RNA, 1054 nt
Filed under: Sclerococcum parasiticum
Lineage: Eukaryota; Fungi; Ascomycota; Eurotiomycetes; Sclerococcales; Dactylosporaceae
Description: SSU rRNA
Rfam family: Eukaryotic small subunit ribosomal RNA
Source: RNAcentral
CAUUCUAAGUAUAACAAUCAUACUGUGAAACUGCGAAUGGCUCAUUAAAUCAGUUGCAAUUUAUUUGAUAGUACCUAACACAUGGAUAACUGUGGUAAUUCUAGAGCUAAUACAUGCUAAAAACCUCGACUUCGGAAGGGGUGUAUUUAUUAGAUUAAAAACCAAUGCCCUUCGGGGCUCUUUGGUGAAUCAUAAUAACUUAACGAAUCGCAUGGCCUUGCGCCGGCGAUGGUUCAUUCAAACUUCUGCCCUAUCAACUUUCGAUUGUAAGGUAGAGGCUUACAAUGGUGUCGACGGGUAACGGGGAAUUAGGGUUCGAUUCCGGAGAGGGAGCCUGAGAAACGGCUACCACAUCCAAGGAAGGCAGCAGGCGCGCAAAUUACCCAAUGCCAAUACGGCGAGGUAGUGACCAUACAUACUGAUACAGAGCUCUUUUGGGUUUUGUAAUUGGAAUGAGUACAAUCUAAAUCCCUUAACGAGGAACAAUUGGAGGGCAAGUCUGGUGCCAGCAGCCGCGGUAAUUCCAGCUCCAAUAGCGUAUAUUAAAGUUGUUGUGGUUAAAAAGCUCGUAGUUGAACCUUGGGCUUGGCUGGCCGGUCCGCCUCACCGCGUGUACUGGUCCGGCCGAGCCUUUCUUUCUGGGGAAUCUCAUGCCCUUCACUGGGUGUGCAGGGGAACCAGGACUUUUACUUUGAAAAAAUUAGAGUGUUCAAAGCAGGCCUAUGCUCGGAUACAUUAGCAUGGAAUAAUGGAAUAGGACGGCAGUUCUAUUUUGUUGGUUUCUAGGACCGCCGUAAUGAUUAAUAGGGAUAGUCGGGGGCAUCAGUAUUGAAUUGUCAGAGGUGAAAUUCUUGGAUUUAUUCAAGACUAACUACUGCGAAAGCAUUUGCCAAGGAUGUUUUCAUUAAUCAGUGAACGAAAGUUAGGGGAUCGAAGACGAUCAGAUACCGUCGUAGUCUUAACCAUAAACUAUGCCAACUAGCGAUCGGAUGGUGUUUCAUUUUUGACCCAUUCGGCAGCUUGUGAGAAAUCAAAGUUUUUGGGUCCAGGGGGA